This 563-nucleotide ribosomal RNA is filed under the name Blastenia sp. Its description in RNAcentral is "LSU rRNA". It matches the Rfam family "Bacterial large subunit ribosomal RNA", at positions 1002 to 1407 of the family's 2925-position model. The record is from RNAcentral. Lineage: Eukaryota; Fungi; Ascomycota; Lecanoromycetes; Teloschistales; Teloschistaceae.
GGUUGUAUGUCUAAAGGGAAACAGCCCAGAACAAGUGUUAAUAAGGUUCCAAAAUUAUUAUUAAGUGAAAUAAAGGUAGUUUAUGUCCUAAACGGCCAGGAAAUGGGCUUAGAAGCGGCCAUUUUUUAAAGACCUCGUAACAGAGCACUGGUUUUCUCCUAAUUUUUAGGGUAAAUUAUGCACAAGCAGAUAGCGUUUUUACGUUAGUUUACAUGGAUAUAAGCACCGACGAUAUAACGGAUCUAAAUAAUAUACCGAGACCUUGUCCAUAAAUACAUAUAUAAUAUUAUAUGACCAGAGUAUAUUUAUUAAUUUAAUUUAUAUGCUAAAAGUUAUAUGUUUUGUAUCGUUUUAUGGGGUAGCGGAACAUUGGGUAUACCACACCCUUUUAUUUUAUAAAUAAAAAUAGGUACCCCAAGUGAUAAUGUUGACAUGAGUAACGAUAAAGGGUUUUAAGCAAAACUUAAAUAGAUGAUGCUUAAAUAUGCCCUCGCCUAAAGCUUAUGGCAUUUAGUUAAAGUAACGGCCUCUAAGUUUAUAUUUUAGUAAACCUAAGGGAUUAA